Raphanus sativus (radish) is the source of this 1906-nucleotide long non-coding RNA. RefSeq lists it as uncharacterized. The record is from RefSeq and is a predicted model, not a curated record. The transcript has 3 exons. NCBI's taxonomy places the organism in Eukaryota, Viridiplantae, Streptophyta, Magnoliopsida, Brassicales, Brassicaceae.
UCGCACCCCGUACCCAUCUCUCCAAGCCCGACCGACCCAACAAGAAUAACCGGUUAGCUUCGUGGUGCAGCAAUCGAUCGAUCGGCCCACACAACCAGUCCUAGCACACAAAAGGAUCACACCGCCAAACAUCUCCGAUACACCAAAUACGGUGGUCAUUUCCCGUAAUAAAUCGGUCACCAAAGUCAAAAGGACGAGAUGCAUUUCAAUACAAUAGAAUACAUCAACACCGGACCCGUUAUUCUCAGAACCACAGUCUUAUUACCCAUCGCGAGAUAUCUACGACGUCUCACCAAUGGAGUGGGGGGGCUUACUGUUGGAGAUGGAUUUAACAUCCCUCCACAAGGCCCAUCGAAUAACAGCUUCCGGCCCAUCGGCACCAGAACUCCUUCUCGAUAUUGGUUCGAUUGAAUAGGUCGAUCGAUCUAACCGGGCGAUCGACCGACACGCUAGACUUAUUUUAGUUCAAUACGCUAUCGUUUGGCUUCGAAGCCCAUCAAGCCCAAACUUAGGCCCGAAGGUCCUAGGGCGAACACACCUUAGGGCAAACAGAAGGCAAAGGAACAAGGACUAUAAAAGGAGGAUAGAGGGGAAAGAGAAAGGGAUCCGAAAUACACUUUAGAGCACUGACGGCAAGAUUAGGGUUUACCAACCAAUCGAUCUACCUUGUGUUCUUGCCGGCGCUUUCAACAAAGCUCCGGCCUUUUCUUUCUUCCGUUUCACCUCCUUGUAGUCCGUUCAAACUCAUUCACUAAUUAAUAAAACGUCUUCGUAAGACCCACAAAACCGAAUCCUCUUUACUUUCAGUCGAUCUACAAACUCGGAUUCAACAGACGAGCAGAAGCAAGCUUCCAUGGAGAUCAGGCUCUUAUUCAAGAACAAACCUGAGAAUAGCAUCAAAAUCACCAAAGCCAAAGUGCUCAUCUCUCUGAUCUCAUCUUCGGAUCUUCAGCUCCAGGAAUACAGAGUUAUGGCGAUCCUGAUUUCUCCCUCUGCGACGAGAACAAAGACCCAAUUGCUUCUUUCGACGCCAUCAAGCCGCUCGUAUUUGUCUUCAUUGUGUUGGUUUUGAAAUGCGGCUGGUUUAGUUGAUCCAGCCUACUGGCGUAUUUGAAAAAGAAUUGAUGAUGCCUCUCUGUGAAGCCAAUGAGUUAGCCCAAGGCAAGUCUGAUAAUGUGUAUAUUUGGACAAACUCGAUAGAAUAAAAUUUGUUGGCUUUUUGUUUUUUGAUCAGUUCAGAAUUUCUGUGACCAUGAAACACAGUAGUUUUGCAUCACUUACAGGUCAGGUAUUGUCUUUGACAUUAUGGCUUGCUCGAGUUUACAUAGAAGAAUACGGAGACGAUGAUAUCUCCUUGUUGUUGACACUUGGUACACCUCACUUGUAGGUAACAAAAUCUUUUUGUUUUAGAUCAUCACACCGCAAGUCUGAUAGUCAUAAGCCAAUUAAGUUGUAAACCAAGGGAGUCUCUGCGUUUCACUUUAACGAUAUUAGCAACAUGGUGUAAGAGACUUGUGAAGCUUGAGCUUAGUGGUUGUGAAGGUAGCUUUGAUGGGAUUAAAACCAUGUGAAAUGUUGUGACUACAGACCUGCUGAGAAUCUCGUCUUGUGGAAAGGUGGAUCCUUGUAUUGGACCAGAGAAGUUGAUGAGGUCUUGUCCGGCUCUCGAGAGUUUGCAACUCAAAAAGUGUUGUUUGAAUGAUAAAGAAGGGAUGGGAGCUUCUUGGGGCAUUUUAUAUUUUAUAUUCGAUGGAUCCUUAUCCUGGACCAGAGAAGCGUUGGGAGCUUCUCGAUGGUUUGUAUCAAUUAGUACAUUGAUAUUUUGUAUAAAAUGAUAUUAUUGAGAAAAAUUAUUAUUGAUUUUAUUUUUGUUGUGAUGUUUGGAAAACCAAAGUAAGAUACUUGA